GCCUACGGGGGGCAGCAGUGGGGGAUAUUGCGCAAUGGGGGAAACCCUGAUGCAGCGACGCCGCGUGAGUGAAGAAGUAUUUCGGUAUGUAAAGCUCUUUCCGCAGGGAAGAAAAUGACGGUACCUGACUAAGAAGCACCGGCUAAAUACGUGCCAGCAGCCGCGGUAAUACGUAUGGUGCAAGCGUUAUCCGGAUUUACUGGGUGUAAAGGGAGCGCAGGCGGCGCGUUAAGCCUGGUGUGAAAG
RNAcentral lists this ribosomal RNA (246 nucleotides) under uncultured bacterium. Its description in RNAcentral is "partial 16S ribosomal RNA". It matches the Rfam family "Bacterial small subunit ribosomal RNA", at positions 337 to 600 of the family's 1533-position model. The record is from RNAcentral.